GUAACGCGUAUGCAACCUACCUAUCAGGAGGGGAACUAACCCGGCGAAAGUCGGACUAAUACCGCAUAAAACAGGGGCACCGCAUGGUGAUAUUUGUUAAAGAAAUUCGCUGAUAGAUGGGCAUGCGUUCCAUUAGGUAGUUGGUGAGGUAACGGCUCACCAAGCCGACGAUGGAUAGGGGAACUGAGAGGUUGGUCCCCCACACUGGUACUGAGACACGGACCAGACUCCUACGGGAGGCAGCAGUGAGGAAUAUUGGUCAAUGGGCGGGAGCCUGAACCAGCCAAGUCGCGUAGAAGGAAGAAGGAUCUAUGGUUACGUAAACUUCUUUUGCGAGGGGAAUAAAGUGCAGGACGUGUCCUGUUUUGUAUGUACCCUGAGAAUAAGGAUCGGCUAACUCCGUGCCAGCCGCCGC
Molecule: ribosomal RNA, 415 nt
Filed under: uncultured bacterium
Lineage: Bacteria
Description: bacterial SSU rRNA
Rfam family: Bacterial small subunit ribosomal RNA
Source: RNAcentral